This 1031-nucleotide long non-coding RNA is filed under the name Lepidothrix coronata (blue-crowned manakin). RNAcentral describes it as "lncRNA (ENSLCOG00000009115.1)". Lineage: Eukaryota; Metazoa; Chordata; Aves; Passeriformes; Pipridae. The record is from RNAcentral.
AAUGAAAUGGAUGAGCUGGAGAGUGAGUCUGGGGCUGGGGAAUGAAAUGGAUGAGCUGGAGAGUGAGUCUGGGGCUGGGGAAUGAAAUGGAUGAGCUGGAGAGCGAGUCUGGGGCUGGGGAAUGAUGAGCCGUGGGGGAGGAUGACGUCUGUUGGUGUGGGAGCUCUGGGGUUCCUCCAUGGAAAACCACUGAGCUUUCUGCUGAUGCUGCCUGACUCAUCCCCAGUGGGCUGGAUGAGCAACACUGCGGGGAUGACCGCUGGAUCCUGGCCCAGGACCUGCCAACAUCUGCCAGGGCUCCUUCUGCCGGGCUGGCUGCUGCACGACUGUGGGAGGCUUGGGAUAAGUGGGAGCUCAGAGGGACCCAAUUCCAUGUAAUAAUCCUGAGAGUCCUCGUGACUGUGCCCAGACAGCCUUUUGUGAUCUUUGGCCCAAGAAAGAAGCUCAGUUGCCUUUUUCCAAGCAUUCCUGGUACCAGGGGAAGAGCAGAUGGACUGUCUAAGCAGGAGGGAGGACCUGGCACCCCGUGCCACGCGCACGGUCGGUCCCUGCUCCUGCAAUGUGCCCAUGGGGUGCCUGUGGCCGGGGCCAGGGACUGAUGCUUUGUGUGUGCAGGUGCCAGCACGUCCCCGGGAAGCAGCCUCAACUCCAGCGAGGAGCACCUCAACGCCCCAGCCGACACUUACCCCACCAAAGCUAAGCUUGGUGACACGCAGGAGCUGGAGGAGUUCAUCGCGGACCUGGAUAAAGCCUUGGAGGGCUCUUUCAGCUGGGGCAGAAAUACAAAGGCUUAAGUGUGUUCCCUGUCUGCUGCCUCAGCUUCCCCCAGCUGAUGAGCUGGAGGUGCUGGGACCUGGGGAAGGGACUGAGGAUAUGAAGGCCAUGUUGGUCCUGGCAAUGAUACCCAACAGGACAACCUGCAGAGCUGUUGAUGUUUUUGGGAAGAUGCAGAGGUGCCUGUGGCUCUCUGCCUGCAGCCUCCCUCCAGCUCCUGCUUGGAGGCUGCUCUUUGCUUGAGGGAGAAAGGUGAG